This is a long non-coding RNA of Pezoporus occidentalis (night parrot), 980 nucleotides long. RefSeq lists it as uncharacterized. Lineage: Eukaryota; Metazoa; Chordata; Aves; Psittaciformes; Psittacidae. The record is from RefSeq and is a predicted model, not a curated record. The transcript is spliced from 2 exons.
AGCGGGAGAGCACUCCCCGCCACCGGCCGAACCUCCCUCACCCCCGGCGGCCGCGAGCGGCUUACGUACGAGGGCUCGGAAGUGGCACCGGGCCAGGGCACGGGCCCCCAUGGGACGGCUUGCUUGGUUUGGGAUAGGCUCCGUAAGCCCUGAUAGAUGGGGACCUGGGCACUCGACCUGACGUGUGGCAACGAACACGGACCCUCCACAGAAACAGACCGACAGCACAGCAGCGGGCCGUGCCUGGCUGCGGGAAUGGGGGCACCGCCACUUCCCCCUGCUUCAGUGGUUACCUUCCAACCCCUCAGCUCCGAGGCGUUCAUUUAAUGCUGAUACUGAAAAAGCCGAGUUGCAUUUCAUCCUAACUAUUGCCCAAGCGGACCACUGUGGACGGUCAAGGGAGAUGAAGCUUUCCUGGAACACUGCUGGAACCCUUAUUUUGUAAUACAGAAUGGCUGGAACAUGCCGAAUCUGGACUUACUCUGCUUUAUCUGCGGGCAGUACGAGAAACAGUGAAUCAAAGCUAACCACUACAUUCUGCAAGUAGGCUGUUCACUUUGAAGCUUACAACACAUUAUUGAAAUGUGAUUAAUUCCUUUGCUGAUUAAUACUUAGAAGAAGCCUUCACCUAAAAUUCUCAUUCCUCGUAACAGACUGUGAAAGUCAAAAGAGGCCUUUGCCUAAUUAUUUUUUCUCUCCCUGCAGAUUAUCUGUCUGCCUCAGAAGAGGUCUGUGAAAAGGACAGAACAUGUGCUUCAGAGUGAAGGCUGAAAAUAAUACAUUUUCUUUUCAUGUACUUCCCAGCUACAAGAAAACUCAAGACAGACCAAAAUGCUGGAAUGUGAACUGGGAGGCAAUCAGAAAGAGUGAUACACCCAAGACAACAUGGGAGACAUCGUUUCUAGGCCUUUUGUGGACUCCCAACAAUAAAUCCAAAUCUGCAGAAGGCAAUAAACUGGCAAAAGAAGUCUUACUCCAAA